Molecule: transfer RNA, 87 nt
Filed under: Exophiala xenobiotica
Lineage: Eukaryota; Fungi; Ascomycota; Eurotiomycetes; Chaetothyriales; Herpotrichiellaceae
Rfam family: tRNA
About the family: Transfer RNA (tRNA) molecules are approximately 80 nucleotides in length. Their secondary structure includes four short double-helical elements and three loops (D, anti-codon, and T loops).
Source: Rfam by way of RNAcentral
GGUUCGGUAGCUCAGUGGUAGAGCGAGAGAUUGCAGUCCCCCUUGGCAAAUAUCUCUAGGUCACGUGUUCGAACCACGUUCGGACCU